Prionailurus viverrinus (fishing cat) is the source of this 772-nucleotide long non-coding RNA. RefSeq lists it as uncharacterized. NCBI's taxonomy places the organism in Eukaryota, Metazoa, Chordata, Mammalia, Carnivora, Felidae. The record is from RefSeq and is a predicted model, not a curated record. The transcript is spliced from 2 exons.
UCCAUUCCGCAACACCUGGCAGUGUAUAUACUACAAGGGACCCCAGCGUUCACACUGGGGAAGGGAUGGGUAGGGUCAGUACAUCCCAGGCACGGGCCUGUGACUGUGACAGCCAAUCACAGCCUGUGGCUCACCAGAGAAGUUUGUCAGCACAGAAAUGUCAUUUUGAGCAGAUGUGUUUUCUGUUUUUGUCAUACAAUGUCGAGAGACGGAAGGGUUGUCCCAGGAUGGGAGUUUUAGCGAGAGUUUUAAGUUCAACAGAGAACUAACCAGGAGCGGUGCCUCCAAGCCUUCCUGAAAAACAGGCCUGCCCUCCCGCAGACCCAGGAUCCUAUUCUGCCUCACAAACCACUGCCAGCUGAGUUCUAAUUGCAGAAUCUUCAUUACCAGGGAUGAUUGAAACUAUAAAAAGAACCCAGCUGAAUUUUUCACAUCCUGCUGGGUGAGCACAGAGACCGACUCUCCUGCUCCUGCCCGCCUCCUCCUCCCAGCAAUUAUCCCCGGUACAUGUGUGGUCCAGCUUCUGCAGGACACUCCGAGCACUUGAUCGAGGUUACCUCAAUUUCCUCGGAGCCUCUCUCCGUAGAAGGUGGUCUUAAUACCAUGAGAGAUAUGCCUGGCCUCCCUUCACGGCUGCAGAGACAAGAGCAUCAUUGCUUUACCUCCCCAACUAAGUAUCUUGCCUGACGUCACCCAGAGGUGUGUGGCCAGAAGGAUAGCAGACUUUUCUCUUGGCCCCCUAGGCCUUCAUGACAAUAUAUGCGUAACUCUA